Unclassified non-coding RNA from Callithrix jacchus (white-tufted-ear marmoset), 148 nucleotides. It matches the Rfam family "Metazoan signal recognition particle RNA". From Rfam's summary of the family: The signal recognition particle (SRP) is a universally conserved ribonucleoprotein. It is involved in the co-translational targeting of proteins to membranes. The record is from Ensembl. Lineage: Eukaryota; Metazoa; Chordata; Mammalia; Primates; Cebidae.
GCCAGGCAUGGUGGUGCGUGCCUGUAGUCCCAGCUACUUGGGAGGCUGAGACAGGAGAAUUGCUUGAACCCAGGAGGCGGAGGUUGCAGUGAACUGAGAUUGUGUCACUGCACUCCAGCCUGGGUGACAGAGCGAGACUCUGUUUCAA